This 403-nucleotide unclassified non-coding RNA is filed under the name soil metagenome. Its description in RNAcentral is "partial contains 5.8S ribosomal RNA, internal transcribed spacer 2, and large subunit ribosomal RNA". The stretch from base 1 to 122 matches the Rfam family "5.8S ribosomal RNA", at positions 35 to 154 of the family's 154-position model. The record is from RNAcentral.
GAUGAAGAACGCAGCAAAAUGCGAUACUUGGUGUGAAUUGCAGAAUCCCGUGAACCAUCGAGUUUUUGAACGCAAGUUGCGCCCGAAGCCUUUUGGCCGAGGGCACGUCUGCCUGGGCGUCACGCAUCGCGUCGCCCCCCACAAUUCUCCGUAAAGGGAACGUGUGUUUUGGGGGCGGAUAUUGGUCUCCCGUGCUCAUGGCGUGGUUGGCCGAAAUAGGAGUCCUUUCGAUGGACGCACGAACUAGUGGUGGUCGUAAAAACCCUCGUCUUUUGUUUCGUGCUGUUGCUCGCAAGGUAACUCUUUAAAAACCCCAAUGUGUCGUCUCUUGACGACGCUUCGACCGCGACCCCAGGUCAGGCGGGACUACCCGCUGAGUUUAAGCAUAUCAAUAAGCGGAGGA